This 433-nucleotide ribosomal RNA is filed under the name uncultured bacterium. Its description in RNAcentral is "partial 16S ribosomal RNA". It matches the Rfam family "Bacterial small subunit ribosomal RNA", at positions 29 to 507 of the family's 1533-position model. The record is from RNAcentral.
AACGAACGCUGGCGGCAUGCCUAACACAUGCAAGUCGAACGAGAGCUUCGGGACUGGUGGCGCACAGGUGCGUCACGCGGCGGAACCUGCCCGUAUACUCGGGAUACCACCCCGACAGGGGUGCUAAUACAGGGUAAUUUAUUCUGACCAAAGAUGUAUCGCCUUGGUAGGGGCACGAGUUGUAUUGGCUGGUUGGUAGUGUAAAAGCCUACCAAGGCGACGAUCGAUAGCUGGGCUGAGAGGCUGAUCAGCGACACUGGGACUGAGACACGGCACGGACUCCUACGGGAGGGAGCAGUGGGGAAUAUUGGACAAUGGGCGGAAGCCUGAUCCAGCAAUGCCGCGUGAGUGAUGAAGUCCUGAGGGUUGUAAAGCUCUUUUAUCCGGGAUGAUAAUGACAGUACCGGGAGAAUAAGCACCGGCUAACUCCGUG